RNAcentral lists this ribosomal RNA (492 nucleotides) under uncultured bacterium. RNAcentral's name for it is "partial 16S ribosomal RNA". It matches the Rfam family "Bacterial small subunit ribosomal RNA", at positions 29 to 507 of the family's 1533-position model. The record is from RNAcentral.
AGCGAACGCUGGCGGUAGGCCUAACACAUGCAAGUCGAACGGCAGCACAGUAAGAGCUUGCUCUUACGGGUGGCGCGCGGCGGAACGGGGCGGAAUACACCGGAAAAUACUUUUUCAUGGGGGCUAAUGUCGGGAAACUUCCGCUAAUACCGCAUACGACCCACGGGUAAAAGCAGGGGAUCUUCGGACCUUUCGCGAGUGAAUGAGGCGAAGUCGGAUUAGCUAGUUGGCGGGGUCAAGGCCCACCAAGGCGACGAUCCGUAGCUGGUCUGAGAGGAUGAUCAGGCACACUGGAACUGAGACACGGUCCAGACUCCUACGGGAGGCAGCAGUGGAGAAUAUUGGACGAUGGGGGCAAGCCGGAUCCAGCCAUACCGCGUGGGUGAAGAAGGCCUUCGGGUUGUAGAGCCCUUUUGUUGGGAAAGGAAAGCAGCAGUUUAAUACCCCGCUGUUCUGACGGUACCCAAAGAAUAAGCACCGGCUAACUUCGUG